ACAAAGACAGGAAAACUUCUACGGAGGACAAAAUGGUUGAUUGUGAGACAGCCACCCACGUGCAUAAUGGCACUGGCCUCUGCAUUUGUCACUUCUGCAUGCAGAAGUUCAGCUCCCAAGAAGCGGCACAGCACUGACAGUUGGAUGGACAAAUGACUACAGAGAGCAUAGAGCUCAGGCAGGUGGCAAUGACUGGUACUCAGAGGCUGCCAGUAGGCCUGGGCCCUCCUCCUGAACUGGUGUUCUUGUUUCAGGCUGCUGUGAAGCUGAAGUGACUGUGCAGUGCUCCUUGAAGACUGUCAUUUCCCUGCCUGAAAUGUGUACCAAAUGAGUCAUUCAUUUAACAUUUCCCCUCUUGCAGAUUUUGCUUUCGUAUUGACGCCAAUCUCAGAAGUGUGAUCAGAUCCUGUCCUGGCUUCUGUUCUGUUGAAUCACGUUGUAAUUUCUGUGUCAUUCUUUGUGACCUUUGUUCUGUAACUUCUCUGCUUUAUAUUCUUUUAGUUGCUAUCUUUUAAUUUUCAUCAUUUUUACCAACUGCUGUCUUAAUGAUACUUGUAAUUUAAAGUUUUUCAAAACAAUUGUGGUGUUGGGAGGGGAGGAACUGUUGCUUCCAUUUUUGCAAGUACCAUAACCUUGCCUUGGGAGAGACUCGUCUUUGUAUUUCCUCCUCCAUAAUGAUUUGGUUUUGAUGGUAUAAAUCACAAGGAAAUCACUCUGUGGUGCUUGUCAAAGUGAACUCAGACUUGGCUUUCUGCCAAGCUGCUGUGAGUUUUCCUAUCUGUGCUCUGCAAGCAGGUUCAGCGUUACCAGCUGUGUGUGCCUGCUGCUGCUGGCUGCUGGUAUGCCGUCCUUCAUCUCCUCCCAUGAGCUGGGAAGCAAGGAAGGUGCAAGCUUGGGCUUUCUGACUCAGUAAAAUCCGUUCAGGAUGUGAGCAGCUUCCCUUCUGCAGGAGUUUUAGAAGUACUCAGCAAAGCAUUUUUCCUUCUAUAAACUGCUUUAGCUCUUGCCAUGAACUAUGGAAUCAGCUCCAGGAAAGAUUUACUCCAAGGGCUGUUGUCAAGACAUCAGCUCAGGAUUACUCAUGCUAGUAAAAUACAGUGAAGCACACAGCAAGAAUUUAAAAGAUUGAAAAGAGGAAUGCUUUUAUUUUGACCAGCCUAGACUAGUUUUGUCUUGUUGCGUCAACGUCUAUUACAUGCCCUACUUGCUGCGGCAUGAUGUCCAUACAGAGGCCCAUAAUCCAUCAGUACUACUCAGAAUGGGUAAGCAGGUGUU
This 1275-nucleotide long non-coding RNA is filed under the name Phasianus colchicus (ring-necked pheasant). Its description in RNAcentral is "lncRNA (ENSPCLG00000012404.1)". Lineage: Eukaryota; Metazoa; Chordata; Aves; Galliformes; Phasianidae. The record is from RNAcentral.